RNAcentral lists this ribosomal RNA (408 nucleotides) under uncultured bacterium. RNAcentral describes it as "bacterial SSU rRNA". It matches the Rfam family "Bacterial small subunit ribosomal RNA", at positions 930 to 1349 of the family's 1533-position model. The record is from RNAcentral.
UAGCGGAGCGUGUGGUUUAAUUCGAUGCAACACGAAGAACCUUACCAGGGCUUGACAUGUUGGAAGUAGUGAAACGAAAGUCGAACGAACUGUUAAAUCAGUAACCUUCACAGGUGCUGCAUGGCUGUCGUCAGCUCGUGCCGUGAGGUGUCGGGUUAAGUCCCAUAACGAGCGCAACCCCUGUUGCCAGUUAAUUUCUCUGGCGAGACUGCCCCGCAAAACGGGGAGGAAGGCGGGGAUGACGUCAAGUCAGUAUGGCCCUUAUGCCCUGGGCCACACACACGCUACAAUGGAUGGUACAGCAGGUUGCAAUGGAGCGAUCCGGAGCUAAUCCUUAAAACCAUCCUCAGUUCGGAUUGCAGGCUGAAACUCGCCUGCAUGAAGUCGGAGUUGCUAGUAACCGCAUAA